This is a long non-coding RNA of Ruditapes philippinarum (Manila clam), 303 nucleotides long. RefSeq lists it as uncharacterized. NCBI's taxonomy places the organism in Eukaryota, Metazoa, Mollusca, Bivalvia, Venerida, Veneridae. The record is from RefSeq and is a predicted model, not a curated record. The transcript has 3 exons.
ACAACGGAUCAAAUUAUCCAGAAAUCAAAACCUAGUGUAACUGUUAAGUUUGUUUUUAUUCUAAAGUGAAAAAAAAAGUUCAGCAUCUGCCCAGGCUGGUUGUUUGUAUUACAGAAACAGUUAAAGCAAACAGAGCAACAUCGGUGAUACAGGAUCGAUAUUUGUCAAUGUAUGAACCGUUGAUGGACAGGCAGCUUGUUUGCAAAAACCUCAUCAUUGACGGAGAAUUUAUCAGUCAUGAUGAAAGAGAAAAAUGCAACAUAGGCAAGUUUAUUGACAAAAAUACCAUUGAAUUGCAUGACA